GGAAGUCGCCGCCGCGCUCGGAGCUCCCAGGAGCCGCGUCGCCGUCGCCACCGCCGCCAGCCCGUGCGCCCUCGGCGCGUACCCGCCGCGCUCCCAUCCCCGCCGCCGGCCAGGGGCGCGCUCGGCCGCCCCGGACAGUGUCCCGCUGCGGCCCCGCGGCGAUGGCCACCAAGAUCGACAAAGAGGCUUGCCGGGCGGCGUACAACCUGGUGCGCGACGACGGCUCGGCCGUCAUCUGGUAGGAACUUUUCAUUCCUCUCCACGCCCCGCUCCCCGGGCUCGCGCGGGGCCUCGUGCACCGAGCCGGCCUCCAGGCGGGACGGAUUCUGGGCCUCCCGUGCUGUCUUCCUCGCCUUAUUCCGGGACGGCGGGCCAGGCCCCCGCGGGCUUCUCCGUGGCCAGCGCGUCUGUUAGAUUGUCCUCUGCAAGCGCCGCGUCUCGCGGCCACCAGCGCUGAUGUGUGUGUGUGUUUUUUUCUUCUCCCAACCCAAAGGGUGACUUUUAAAUAUGACGGCUCCACCAUCGUCCCCGGCGAGCAGGGAGCGGAGUACCAGCACUUCAUCCAGCAGUGCACAGAUGACGUCCGGUUGUUUGCCUUCGUGCGCUUCACCACCGGGGAUGCCAUGAGCAAGAGGUCCAAGUUUGCCCUCAUCACGUGGAUCGGUGAGAACGUCAGCGGGCUGCAGCGCGCCAAAACUGGGACGGACAAGACCC
RNAcentral lists this small RNA (714 nucleotides) under Pongo abelii (Sumatran orangutan). RNAcentral's name for it is "retained intron". The record is from RNAcentral. Lineage: Eukaryota; Metazoa; Chordata; Mammalia; Primates; Hominidae.